RNAcentral lists this ribosomal RNA (242 nucleotides) under uncultured bacterium. RNAcentral describes it as "partial 16S ribosomal RNA". It matches the Rfam family "Bacterial small subunit ribosomal RNA", at positions 89 to 334 of the family's 1533-position model. The record is from RNAcentral.
UGACGAGUGGCGAACGGGUGAGUAUAACAUCGGAACAUACCGAGUAAUGGGGGAUAACUUAUCGAAAGGUGAGCUAAUACCGCAUACGAUCUACGGAUGAAAGUGGGGGACCCUCGGGCCUCACGUUAUUCGAGUGGCCGAUGACUGAUUAGCUAGUUGGUGGGGUAAGAGCCUACCAAGGCGACGAUCAGUAGCGGGUCUGAGAGGAUGAUCCGCCACACUGGGACUGAGACACGGCCCAG